This 335-nucleotide unclassified non-coding RNA is filed under the name soil metagenome. RNAcentral describes it as "partial contains 5.8S ribosomal RNA, internal transcribed spacer 2, and large subunit ribosomal RNA". The stretch from base 1 to 120 matches the Rfam family "5.8S ribosomal RNA", at positions 35 to 154 of the family's 154-position model. The record is from RNAcentral.
GAUGAAGAACGUAGCAAAAUGCGAUAAGUAAUGUGAAUUGCAGAAUUCCGUGAAUCAUCGAAUCUUUGAACGCACAUUGCGCCCUCUGGUAUUCCGGGGGGCAUGCCUGUCCGAGCGUCAUUUCAACCAUCAAGCCCCAGGCUUGUGUUGGAGCCCUGCGGCCGUCCGCAGCCUCCUAAAAUCAGUGGCGGGCUCGCUAUCACACCGAGUGCAGUAGUUUACUCUUCGCUCAGGACGUGUAGCGGGUUCCGGCCGUGAAACCCCCCAAUUUUCAAGGUUGACCUCGGAUCAGGUAGGAAUACCCGCUGAACUUAAGCAUAUCAAUAAGCGGAGGA